RNAcentral lists this ribosomal RNA (253 nucleotides) under uncultured bacterium. RNAcentral's name for it is "partial 16S ribosomal RNA". It matches the Rfam family "Bacterial small subunit ribosomal RNA", at positions 524 to 776 of the family's 1533-position model. The record is from RNAcentral.
UACAGAGACUGCAAGCGUUAUUCGGAUUCACUGGGCGUAAAGGGUGCGCAGGCGGCCAAGUGUGUGAGGCGUGAAAGCCUGGAGCUUAACUCCAGAAUUGCACCUCAAACUACAUGGCUAGAGCAUUGGAGAGGGUAGCGGAAUUCACGGUGUAGCAGUGAAAUGCGUAGAUAUCGUGGAGAACACCCGUGGCGAAGGCGGGCUUCUGGUUGACUUCUGACGCUGAGGUGCGAAAGCUAGGGGAGCGAACGGG